This 21-nucleotide non-coding RNA is filed under the name Caenorhabditis elegans. Lineage: Eukaryota; Metazoa; Nematoda; Chromadorea; Rhabditida; Rhabditidae. The record is from RNAcentral.
UCGGUGAUCAAAUCAAGUCCA